AACGAACGCUGGCGGCGUGCUUAACACAUGCAAGUCGAACGAAGUGGCGAACGGGUGAGUAACGCGUAAUCAACCUGCCCUUCAGAGGGGGACAACAGUUGGAAACGACUGCUAAUACCCCAUACUGAAGGAGGGGAUUGCGUCUGAUUAGCUAGUUGGGGGGGUAACGGCCCACCAAGGCGAUGAUCAGGAGCCUGUCUGAGAGGAUGAACGGCCAACUUGGGACGGAGACACGGCCCAGACUCCUACGGGAGGCAGCAGUGGGGAAUCUUCCGCAAUGGAGGAAAGUCUGACGGAGCAACGCCGCGGGAGUGAUGACGGGCUUCGGGUUGUAAAGCUCUGUUAAUCGGGACGCGGUACCGGAAUAGAAAGCCACGGCUAACUACGUGCCAGCAGCCGCGGUAAUAC
Molecule: ribosomal RNA, 408 nt
Filed under: uncultured bacterium
Lineage: Bacteria
Description: partial 16S ribosomal RNA
Rfam family: Bacterial small subunit ribosomal RNA
Source: RNAcentral